UUUUCUUUAUUUUCUUAGUCUCUUUCUGUCUCAGUCAAUCCAUUGCAAAUCUUAGCCGGAUUCCUUACAAAUCCUUGUGAGGACUUAUUGUAAAGUGAGUUGUGUUUAACAAAUUCUUCUUUCUGUAUUGAACUCGAUCACUGUGAUCCUCACCGAGGAUGCAACUUACAUUGCUCACACGUUCAUUGGUUCAACCGACGUGAACUUCCUUGGUAACACCGAUAUGAUCAACUUGUGACUUUUUGAUUCUCGGACUCACUGAUUGAUCCUACUUGGAGACACCCAUUUCACAACGCCAAGAUCAAUUUGCCAAAAUUCCUUCAGAUUCUUACCGACUCCACUCAGCAU
RNAcentral lists this long non-coding RNA (348 nucleotides) under Hordeum vulgare. RNAcentral's name for it is "long non-coding RNA (HVUL_LNC001790)". Lineage: Eukaryota; Viridiplantae; Streptophyta; Magnoliopsida; Poales; Poaceae. The record is from RNAcentral.